AUUGAACGCUGGCGGCAGGCCUAACACAUGCACGUCGAGCGGAGCGGCGGACGGGCGAGUAAUGCCGAUGAAUCUGUCUGGCAGUGGGGGAUAACGUCCGGAAACGGGCGCUAAUACCGCAUAUUAUCAGACGAGCCUAGCUCGGAUUAGCUAGUUGGUGGGGUAAAGGCCUACUAAGGUGACGAUCCGUAACUGGUCUGAGAGGAUGAUCAGUCACACUGGAACUGAGACCCGGUCCAGACUCCUACGUGAGGCAGCAGUGGGGAAUAUUGAACAAUGGGCGCAAGCCUGAUCCAGCCAUGCCGCGUGUGUGAAGAAGGUCUUCGGGUUGUAAAGCACUUUAAGUUGGGAGGCGUUACCGACAGAAGAAGCACCGGCUAACUCCGUGCCAGCAGCCGCGGUAAUUC
This 407-nucleotide ribosomal RNA is filed under the name uncultured bacterium. Its description in RNAcentral is "partial 16S ribosomal RNA". It matches the Rfam family "Bacterial small subunit ribosomal RNA", at positions 30 to 526 of the family's 1533-position model. The record is from RNAcentral.